Molecule: ribosomal RNA, 254 nt
Filed under: uncultured bacterium
Lineage: Bacteria
Description: partial 16S ribosomal RNA
Rfam family: Bacterial small subunit ribosomal RNA
Source: RNAcentral
UACGAAGGGGGCUAGCGUUGCUCGGAAUCACUGGGCGUAAAGGGUGCGUAGGCGGGUCUUUAAGUCAGGGGUGAAAUCCUGGAGCUCAAACUCCAGAACUGCCUUUGAUACUGAAGAUCUUGAGUUCGGGAGAGGUGAGUGGAACUGCGAGUGUAGAGGUGAAAUUCGUAGAUAUUCGCAAGAACACCAGUGGCGAAGGCGGCUCACUGGCCCGAUACUGACGCUGAGGUGCGAAAGCGUGGGGAGCAAACAGG